AUGUUCGGGCAAUCGCUCUGCUCCUUUAGAGCAGAGAGGAAAGUCCAUGCUCGCACAACCUGAAAUGGUUGUAAUGAUCGUGCCUGACGAAACGAUAAGUCAGGGCAGCUCGAUUUUUUGAGUUGACGGCGCAAGGGAGACCUACGUUCGUAAGAAUAGGGUUCACCUUCUGAAAGUGCCACAGUGACGAAGUCUUCGUGGAAACACGUAGAGUGGAACGCGGUAAACCCCACGAGCGAGUAACCCAAACUAUGGUAGGGGCACUUUCCCGACGGAAACGGAAGGGAAAGGCGAUUGAUUUCGCAGAUAGAUGAUUGCCAUCGCUAUGUAAGGUGAAGAGCCGCAGCACAGCGAUACAGAACAUGGCUUAUAGAA
RNAcentral lists this RNase P RNA (375 nucleotides) under Geomicrobium halophilum. Its description in RNAcentral is "Bacterial RNase P class B". It matches the Rfam family "Bacterial RNase P class B". From Rfam's summary of the family: Ribonuclease P (RNase P) is a ubiquitous endoribonuclease, found in archaea, bacteria and eukarya as well as chloroplasts and mitochondria. Its best characterised activity is the generation of mature 5'-ends of tRNAs by cleaving the 5'-leader elements of precursor-tRNAs. The record is from Rfam by way of RNAcentral. Lineage: Bacteria; Bacillati; Bacillota; Bacilli; Caryophanales.